CGCCCGGCUCCCAGCACACCCACAGCCGGCAGCAAGGCCGGGAAGCGCCGGGAAAGGGAGCUGGGAAGAAGCUGCACCCCCAGGAAUGCUGGAUACGGGCAGAGGAGUCAAUCCCAUCCCUACAGAGCCGAGGCUGGGAGGGCUGGGAGCCGCCGUGGGAAGUUUUAUGUUGUCAUAAAGCUCUGCACACCCAGAUAUACAGCCCGAGCCAGGGUGCACACUCCGAAAUGCUGCUGUGCAGCCACGUGUGCCACAAGGCCUGGCACACGUGCAGGGAGAGGCUCUGGACAGAGCCCCCACCCCUCCCGAGGGAUCCUUUCCCCGCCGUUACCCACGGCAGGAGCAGAGCAUGGGUGACAGGGGAUCGAUUUGUGAGCCUGCUCCAAAAAAAAAACCUCAUUUCAAGGAAAACUUAGAUGAGCAAGCAAGUCGUACAUCAUCUCCUGUAAAUCAUUUGCUGGGCUCGGGGAGGUGAGAGGCAGGGGUGGCUUGGGAGAGAGGGGAUGGAGGAGGGCCCCUGGUCGGGACCCCAUUGCUGAGGCAGAGCACUGGACAUGGGGGGCCUGGGAGUGGGG
This 575-nucleotide long non-coding RNA is filed under the name Taeniopygia guttata (zebra finch). Its description in RNAcentral is "lncRNA (ENSTGUG00000026408.1)". The record is from RNAcentral. Lineage: Eukaryota; Metazoa; Chordata; Aves; Passeriformes; Estrildidae.